AUUGAACGCUGGCGGCAGGCCUAACACAUGCAAGUCGAACGGUAACAGGAAGAAGCUUGCUUCUUUGCUGACGAGUGGCGGACGGGUGAGUAAUGUCUGGGAAACUGCCUGAUGGAGGGGGAUAACUACUGGAAACGGUAGCUAAUACCGCAUAACGUCGCAAGACCAAAGAGGGGGACCUUCGGGCCUCUUGCCAUCGGAUGUGCCCCGAUGGGAUUAGCUAGUAGGUGGGGUAACGGCUCACCUAGGCGACGAUCCCUAGCUGGUCUGAGAGGAUGACCAGCCACACAGGAACUGAGACACGGUCCAGACUCCUACGGGAGGCAGCAGUGGGGAAUAUUGCACAAUGGGCGCAAGCCUGAUGCAGCCAUGCCGCGUGUAUGAAGAAGGCCUUCGGGUUGUAAAGUACUUUCAGCGGGGAGGAAGGGAGUAAAGUUAAUACCUGUGCUCAUUGACGUUACCCGCAGAAGAAGCACCGGCUAACUCCGUG
RNAcentral lists this ribosomal RNA (490 nucleotides) under uncultured bacterium. RNAcentral describes it as "partial 16S ribosomal RNA". It matches the Rfam family "Bacterial small subunit ribosomal RNA", at positions 30 to 507 of the family's 1533-position model. The record is from RNAcentral.